UACGGGAGGCAGCAGUGGGGAAUAUUGCACAAUGGGCGCAAGCCUGAUGCAGCCAUGCCGCGUGUAUGAAAAAGGCCUUCGGGUUGUAAAGUACUUUCAGUCGUGAGGAAGGUGUUAAGGUUAAUAACCUUAGCAAUUGACGUUAGCGACAGAAGAAGCACCGGCUAACUCCGUGCCAGCAGCCGCGGUAAUACGGAGGGUGCGAGCGUUAAUCGGAAUUACUGGGCGUAAAGGGCACGCAGGCGGUUAAUUAAGUUGGAUGUGAAAUCCCCGGGCUUAACCUGGGAAUGGCAUUCAAGACUGGUUAGCUAGAGUCUUGUAGAGGGGGUAGAAUUCCGAUGUGUAGCGGUGAAAUGCGUAGAGAUGUGGAGGAAUACCGGUGGCGAAGGCGGCCCCUGGACAAAGACUGACGCUCAUGUGCGAAAGCGUGGGGAGCAAACGAGGAUUAGAUACC
RNAcentral lists this ribosomal RNA (454 nucleotides) under uncultured bacterium. RNAcentral's name for it is "bacterial SSU rRNA". It matches the Rfam family "Bacterial small subunit ribosomal RNA", at positions 340 to 786 of the family's 1533-position model. The record is from RNAcentral.